GGUGGUGUAGCUCGGUGGCAGAGUGCUUGCCUUGCAUGUUUGCGGCCCUGGGUUUGAUCCCCAGCACUACAA
Molecule: transfer RNA, 72 nt
Filed under: Marmota marmota marmota (Alpine marmot)
Lineage: Eukaryota; Metazoa; Chordata; Mammalia; Rodentia; Sciuridae
Also listed under: 1 other name
Rfam family: tRNA
About the family: Transfer RNA (tRNA) molecules are approximately 80 nucleotides in length. Their secondary structure includes four short double-helical elements and three loops (D, anti-codon, and T loops).
Source: Rfam by way of RNAcentral